This 35-nucleotide transfer RNA is filed under the name Gentianella sp. GXJ2011P002-2. Its description in RNAcentral is "partial tRNA-His". Lineage: Eukaryota; Viridiplantae; Streptophyta; Magnoliopsida; Gentianales; Gentianaceae. The record is from RNAcentral.
CGGAUGUAGCCAAGUGGAUUAAGGCAGUGGAUUGU